Molecule: long non-coding RNA, 490 nt
Organism: Mesocricetus auratus (golden hamster)
Lineage: Eukaryota; Metazoa; Chordata; Mammalia; Rodentia; Cricetidae
Exons: 2
Source: RefSeq, a predicted model, not a curated record
AGGAAGCAUUACUUCAGGUCACCUGUGGCAUCCCUGAAAGCACUUUUCAUGGAGGAAAACCAGGCUGUGUCACUGUUCACAUUCAGAUACUUCUCAAAGACUGCUGAAAAUAAACCCAGGAAGCUAAGGAGACAGGAUUACGAGGUUCAGACCAGUUUGAGUUACAAGAUAAGUUCAAGACCAGCCUGGCCUACCAAGUGAAACUUUGUCUCAAAAAAAAAACAAAGAAAAGAAAGGAAGAAAAGAGACAGCGAUCAAGAUAAAGGGAUGGCUCAAUGGUUAGAGCACCGGCUGCUCUUUCUAGUACCCGCAUGGCAGCUCACAGCCAUCAGUAACUAGUCCCAGGGGACUCCCACAUCGUCUUUGAGCCUCCAUGGGUACCAGGCACCCACAUGAUACAUUGACAUUCAAGCACCAGAACACCCAUACAUAUGAAAUUGUUUAAAAAACGAAAAAAAGAAAAAGAAAUAAAAUAUCACCUCCCCCCCCC